Molecule: ribosomal RNA, 177 nt
Filed under: uncultured Gammaproteobacteria bacterium
Lineage: Bacteria; Pseudomonadati; Pseudomonadota; Gammaproteobacteria
Description: partial 16S ribosomal RNA
Rfam family: Bacterial small subunit ribosomal RNA
Source: RNAcentral
ACUCCUACGGGAGGCAGCAGUGGGGAAUAUUGCACAAUGGGCGCAAGCCUGAUGCAGCCAUGCCGCGUGUGUGAAGAAGGCCUUCGGGUUGUAAAGCACUUUCAGUCAGGAGGAAAGGUUAGUAGUUAAUACCUGCUAGCUGUGACGUUACUGACAGAAGAAGCACCGGCUAACUCC